UACGAAAGGGGCUAGCGUUGUUCGGAAUUACUGGGCGUAAAGCGCACGUAGGCGGCCUUGUAAGAUGGGGGUGAAAUCCCCGGGCUCAACCCGGGAACUGCCCUCAUGACUGCAAAGCUAGAGGAUGCGAGAGGUUAGCGGAAUUCCGAGUGCAGAGGAGAAAUUCGUAGAUAUUCGGAGGAACACCAGUGGCGAAGGCGGCUAACUGGCGCAUUUCUGACGCUGAGGUGCGAAAGCGUGGGGAGCAGACAGG
RNAcentral lists this ribosomal RNA (253 nucleotides) under uncultured bacterium. RNAcentral's name for it is "partial 16S ribosomal RNA". It matches the Rfam family "Bacterial small subunit ribosomal RNA", at positions 524 to 776 of the family's 1533-position model. The record is from RNAcentral.